GGAUUGUAGUUCAGUGGUAGAACACUUGCCUAGUAUGUGUGAGGCCCUGGGUUCGAUCCCCAACACCA
This 68-nucleotide transfer RNA is filed under the name Marmota monax (woodchuck). Its description in RNAcentral is "tRNA.Thr". The stretch from base 5 to 65 matches the Rfam family "tRNA", at positions 6 to 65 of the family's 71-position model. Rfam says of the family: Transfer RNA (tRNA) molecules are approximately 80 nucleotides in length. Their secondary structure includes four short double-helical elements and three loops (D, anti-codon, and T loops). The record is from RNAcentral. Lineage: Eukaryota; Metazoa; Chordata; Mammalia; Rodentia; Sciuridae.